AUUGAACGCUGGCGGCAUGCCUUACACAUGCAAGUCGAACGGCAGCACGGGAGCAAUCCUGGUGGCGAGUGGCGAACGGGUGAGUAAUGUAUCGGAGCGUGCCCAGUCGUGGGGGAUAACGUAGCGAAAGCUACGCUAAUACCGCAUACGAUCUAUUGAUGAAAGCGGGGGAUCGCAAGACCUCGCGCGAUUGGAGCGGCCGAUAUCAGAUUAGGUAGUUGGUGGGGUAAAGGCUCACCAAGCCGACGAUCUGUAGCUGGUCUGAGAGGACGACCAGCCACACUGGGACUGAGACACGGCCCAGACUCCUACGGGAGGCAGCAGUGGGGAAUUUUGGACAAUGGGCGCAAGCCUGAUCCAGCAAUGCCGCGUGCAGGAUGAAGGCCUCCGGGUUGUAAACUGCUUUUGUACGGAACGAAACGGCGAGCUCUAAUACAGUUUGCUAAUGACGGUACCGUAAGAAUAAGCACCGGCUAACUACGUGCCAGCCGCCGCAGUAA
RNAcentral lists this ribosomal RNA (500 nucleotides) under uncultured bacterium. Its description in RNAcentral is "partial 16S ribosomal RNA". It matches the Rfam family "Bacterial small subunit ribosomal RNA", at positions 30 to 523 of the family's 1533-position model. The record is from RNAcentral.